Molecule: ribosomal RNA, 216 nt
Filed under: Glomeromycotina sp.
Lineage: Eukaryota; Fungi; Glomeromycota
Description: partial small subunit ribosomal RNA
Rfam family: Eukaryotic small subunit ribosomal RNA (bases 40-216)
Source: RNAcentral
GGGUCAGUAGGUUGGUCGUGCCACCGGUACGUACUGGUCUCACUGAUUCCUCCUUCCUGAAGAACCGUAAUGCCAUUAAUUUGGUGUUGCGGGGAAACAGGACUGUUACUUUGAAACAAUUAGAGUGUUUAAAGCAAGCUAACGCUUGAAUACGUUAGCAUGGAAUAAUGAAAUAGGACGAUCGAUCCUAUUUUGUUGGUUUCUAGGAUUGACGUA